Molecule: RNA transcript, 5939 nt
Organism: Numida meleagris (helmeted guineafowl)
Lineage: Eukaryota; Metazoa; Chordata; Aves; Galliformes; Numididae
Gene: CCDC34
Gene name: coiled-coil domain containing 34
Exons: 18
Source: RefSeq, a predicted model, not a curated record
UUUUUUUUUUUUUUUUUUUUUUUAAUUAUUUAUUAUUUUUUUGAGCGCUUAACUGUAGGACAAUCCGUAAAAUUUCUCAGUGUUGAAAACUGCUCAGGGAAUUCUAACGCACUCUGCUAGGUCGCCACAUCAGUGUGCCAGGAAUGAAUGGAGAGCAUUUGCAUUUAAGGUGAACAUUUACGACAUUAGGAAAUAUUACUUAGAAAAUUAGUCACGUUGUUUUAAGCUUUGUGUUCUCUUGAACUGAAAGUAGUUGAAGAAGUGAGAGUGUUAUUAUUAAAUGGAAGACUAUAGCGUUCUGGGGUGGAAACUGGCAUGCAUUUAGUUUGUUUUAAUAUUGAAUGAAGAUACGCAGAAGAAAUACAUUUGGUUUAGCAGCACAGAAAAGUCAACCUUUCAUAAAUGGAAAGGCAAUUCUGAAUGAAUAGCUUGGCUAAAACACACUUAAUAUUUUCCAAGUAUCUAUGCACACGUAUAUUCUAUGGCGAAUGACUGUUUAUUUUAGUCUUGUUCAUAUUGAUGUCUUUUUACACUUGUGUCCGCAGACAGAUGACAAUUUCUAUUGCAAACUACCAGAAAACUAAUGAUAACGUUUCUCAGAGUGGUCUCUCUCUUCAAGGAUUUAGUUCUGGUCAGUUUUAUGCUCCUUUGCAGUUGUACUCGCUAAGUUGUUAGGCAACUGUUGCUCUCCACUGGGAAAGGGAUAGAUGAUUCUAGCAGAAGAUCCCCCAGUUCUCCACUGUGUGUGGCCUAAAACAGUUCCUGUCAUAUGAGGAAUUUUGGGGAAACAAAGGGCUCUCCACACCGCACAGAAUGCAUCUCCAAGUUGUCCCUGGGAGAUUUUGUCCUCACCAGGGAGUAUGUUUCUGUCUUAUCUGUCAUGUUGGCUUAUGAGGGUUCCAAUGAUUUAAAUGCUCUUGAAAAUCUGUGUCAAGAAGCUCCUGAACCAGAGACGACAAGAGGUUGAGUGGUGGCAUCCUUUUUGGACUCCCUCACCAGCUCCAGAAGGUGUCGUGAAUACUUGUUUCUUGCUUGUUAUGGGGAUGAAUGGAAGAUGCACUCUACCUCAGCUUACCGAGACCCAGAUAACAUCUCUGACCAGGAGGGCAGUUAUCUGCAGCAAAAAAAGAGACUGUUUAGAUGGAGGAUCACUUGGACUGGGGGAGAUGGAGUGCAGGCACUUCAGAGCUCUGGACAGAUUGCAUCGAUGGGGAGACUGCACACCACCAUGCAAAAAGGAGACCUGGACUCCUGACGUUCUUCAGUCAUGUAUUAGAAAGAACAACAUGUUGCGCUGUGCAGUUGAGCUGAAGACUGAGUGAGGUUUUCCAUGGCUGUAAAGGUAGACAUCCGGAUGCAGCACAGAAUCCUAAAAAGUCAGGGGGUUUGCCGCUACACGCACAUGAAAUAAGGCUGCCAAGAGAGCAAACACAACUUUAGGACUUGAACAGAGAUAAUAGUAUGUGAGUAUAAGAGCCUAAACUGCUGUUGAAAUAUGCAUGUUAAGAAUGAAGUGGUUUUCUUUUCAUUUUAAUGGUAAAUCUCACAUGAAACAACAGCCAAUUUAAUUCGGAGUUAUGGUGCUAUCAUUUUCAGAUUGACUGAGGUAAGGCAAAAAGGUAUUUGAAGAUCACGUUGUGGACCUUGCUAUGUUUAGUUUUUAAGAAGCGGAAUAGAUAAUUUAGUAAGUUUUAUGUAUUCAUUUAUUUUCCUCUUUUCAGAAUAGAAGAGUCUGUGAAAAUGAAAAAGACUUUAUCAUCCACAAAGCGGUAGCGAUCUUUCUUAUCACUAUUGGUUAAAGCUGUGUGAAUUGAUUUUGCAAAUACGGCAUUGAAAAAUGAACAGUUGUUCCUAACAGAUACUCCAUCUCAGCAGGGAAACUAGAGAACACGGUUUUUGUUGAAAAUGAAGUUAGAGUAAUACGUAAGUUGCGUAAAACUCGUGUGCUUUGAAACGUAAUGAUUAUAAAACUAAUUAGUAAUUACUGUUUGUCUUUCAAGAAGAAAGAAAAGGGCUAGGUGCUGUAUGAACACAUGACAUCUGCACAGAUACUAUCGCAGAAUCACAGGCUGAAUGGAUUUUGUAAGAUCAGGGUUCAUCAUGCUGCCCCGAGGCGAGAUUAACUAUCCCUGUCUUAUUCCUGAGAGAUGGUUGUAUAAGUUGUUCUUAAAGGCCUCCAAAGGUGGACACUCCAUUGCUUCCCAGGGCAAUUUAUUCUGGUGCUUUACCACCCUUCCUGUUAGAGAAUUUUUUUCCAUUAUGUUUAAACAUCAGUUUCUGUUAUUGCAAUUUAAACUUUUCAUUUCUUUUCCUCACCACCAAAGACAUUUGAAAGAUUAUUUGCUCCAUCUUGCAACAGCCUUGAACACUGUUAUUUUACUCCUCCCUUCCUCAGCCUGCUUUUUCUUUUUGGCUACGUGACAGCAAUUAAUUCAGGUCUUUCAUGUAGGGCAGCUGUUCUGGGCCUCCGCUCUUCCUCUCUUGUCUUGCUCAGAAGUCUUUUUGGUGCUUCGUCUUUCCUAAAAUGUACCCAAAGCGAGAAGCCAGUUCUUCAGCUGAGGCAUUGCUGGCAGACAAAGGACUCCUGCACACUUGCAUGUUCUCCUCCGGCUUGCACCCCAGUGAGGUGUUUGUAUUUUUCAGAUUACGUGGCUGAUUCACGCUCAGCUGGUGAUCCAUUUCAACUUCCAAGACCUGUUUUGAAAAAGAACAGGUCUAACCCUAGCUCAUCACUCUCUAUUGUGAAUUUGUGUAGUUGGUUAAUCCGGCCUAAGUGCUGUACUUCUGUAUUGCCAAAAGUGACUUAGGGUGCGUUUUACAGCUAGACAGAGGCUUGAGGUAUGGAAGAAAAAACUAGCUUAGACAAGAUCACACAGGGAGCUUGGAGAAGAGCCAGGAAUCUGUUCUGACUGACCUCCAGAGGCCUCAUCUGCAGAGUCUCCUCCCUGGUGUAAGUGCAAAAUCAUUGAGUUGAACACUGAAAUUAUGGCAAACUAAUAUAUUUUCAUUCUGACUCAUUUUCACUCAUUACUGUUUUUAUGGCCUUUACUAAUAAGUGCCAACAAGAUGAAUGUUUGCCGGCCAUCUAUCAGUCUCCUGUGCGUUCGUUCUACGCAUGGCAUUAUCUAUAACUACAUUAAUUAGAUGAGUGAUUAAGAACCGAGUACUGUAUUCUGCUCUCGUUUUCAAAAUGCACCCAUCAUUGUGGUCAUCAACUUCUUCAAAUCUUUCUGUUUUUUUUUCCAGCACAAUAUUUUUAAAACAUUUUUCUGACGUUAUCUGCAAAGUUACAACUGAUACAAGUUAUACCUCCUGUUGAGUUGCGGCCGUCUUGUUCCGGACUACAGCACUGGUCUCAUGACGAAGCCAGGAUGUCACCCUGGAGGCUGCAGCUUGUGGUCUGUGAGACCCUGAGAUUUUGGACCUCCUCCUCCUUCUUUCCUAGGGAGCAUAAGCACAGCAGCUUCACAGGGGAGAACAAGCAUUGGAAAAACAUCAGCUGGAGUCCUCUGAUGCUGCAGUUGAAGAAGAUGUGGACCAGUUGCAAAGAGUCCAAAGAGAAGCACUGAGUAUAAUAAGAGGUCUCAAAUAUGACCAAGGAGAUAAGAAGAGCUAAUCAAGUGGUAUGGUUCCACUUUUACACGAGAAGACUUUGGAUAACACAGGGAUAAUCCUUAAAGACGCAGAAGGCAGGACCGGACUACCUUAACUCCAACAAGCCCUUCUGGUUAAACUGCUAUUUUUUGGGAUGAAUCACACUGAGAACAUUCAACAUAUCAAGAGCAAGGACCAAAUUAUGCUGUGGAUAGGAAGUCAGUUUGACUUGUGUGUGAGCCAAGGAACUCCACAAGUGAAAGGUGCCUGUGGCAAUUGAGGCAUGGACUCCGUUGCUAGUGCAGAACCAAGACCCUUUAUGCUUAGUGCCCUACACGUGCCCCCCUUUUCCCUGUUCCGUGGGCUGGCUGCCAGGAAUUUAAUUGCAGCUCCCUUUCUGGAUUGACCAGGGCUUGAGACAAGGCAAUCCUACAUCCCUCGCCUGUGGGUUCCCUCAGGCCUGAGACACAUGUGCUUGCUGUUUGCCUGCUUGGUUUUCCCUUACGCCUUGGCAUGGUGUCAGCGGCCCGGGCAGCUCUCAGGAAGCUGCAGCGCGUGGCAUUGGCACAGCCACUCCUGCCUCUCCGGGAGAGGGAGUGGGGCAUCUGCCAGCACCUCAAAAGAUCUGCCAUGUCACCUGCUUAGAAGGCCUCUGGAGCGCAACUGAGGGGUUGCUGUGCUGUGUGCAAGCUCUUCAGUGUUCUCUAGGAUGAUCUUCUGAUAUUAAGACUGGAAAAGUGACUGCAGCAUCUCCACAAGGCGAUUCAGGCCUUGAAGCCAAGGUCACUGUCUCGUCUUGGGGCGUUACUGCAAAGCUGCGCUUAAAGCUCCAGGAAGUGCACGCAAACUCAAAUCUGCAUGUGGUUUUGCUUGGAAGGCUUAACGAGAGAUGUUGACCUACGUGUUUCUAGCCUGUUUCUACAACAAGAAAAUACUCUUUUCAUAAAGGAAUGACCUCGAUGAUCAUCCUUCAUGUUCCUAAGUUGCCUUCGCUCCCAGAAGUUGGCCCCGUAUUUCCUUCUGGCCUUUCAAGGCACGUUACAAAUCAUCCUUUACUGCAUCGACUGAUGCAGCCUUUGUGAUUUUUGCUAACGAUUAAACUCCACAAAAUUGAUGCACUGGAUUUUAUGGACGCUGAGUUUCUAAUCACAUUUCCCUGGGGCACCUGAUGCUAACACCCCAGCACACAGUCUCCUCCUGGCCCCAGCUCUCGGCACUGCUGCCAGGGAGAUCGGAGCUUUCCAUCGUGAGUGAGUCUCCCUGUUACCUUGCCUAACUCUUGUGAAAUAUUGAUAAACUAGCAAAGCGUAUUAGAUUCCUGAAGAUUUCCCAUUUCUCAGCAGCACUGGUAGGUGACUCCUUCCUUCCUUCCUGGGCACCGCGUAACCAAAUGUGCUAAAUGGUUUUUCUGUUCGUUGGAAUUCUGCUUUAUUAUGACAAUUAUUUGGAAAUAUGUUUAGCUGACCAGAAACCAUCAGAACUCUUAAUAAUACGUAAUUGAGCUCAGUUAUGUUUGUUGCAUCCUGGUCCAUUUAAUUUUCCAGGAGGUAAGAUAUAUAGAUAUAAAAAUAAUGCGUAUGUGUAGCGUAUCUAUAUAUAGAUACGUAGAUAACUCUGUGUACAUGCACACACACAAUGCAACUUGAUGGAAGAGUUCUCAUAAGAAGUAAUUAAUAUGUGAAAACUACAAUAUAUAAUUACUACCGCCCAGGUAAGAGGUAAUAAAUGUUGCUGAAAUUUACUGGACAAGUCAUUGUGUGCUGUAAUAACCUCCCAGGUACAGUUUUGUGCUGUGAUGACAAGCAGGUAUCAUGUAUGUAACGAAUGCCUGCGCAGGACUUGUCUGUGCCCGUACUGCUGGCUGCUCUCUCUGCCUGAUGAUGAAGUUGCCUAAAGGCAGGAGGGACUGCGGGUGGUUAACACAUGUGCAAUUCAAAGUCAAGCUGUGGGUUGAUCACAGGUGAGGAAUGGGACACGCAAGUAGGAUGAGGCGUAAGCCCCGCUCUCUUUGUGCCUUCCAGUUGAGCCCAGCGUUUUGCAAGCUGCAGCCCCUAAUCCUUACAGAGACUGGAGCUGAGCUAAUGCCACCUUUAGGGUGGUACAUUGCUAAGCCUCCUCACCUGCACCCAGAAACUGAAGAUAAUGCAAAUUGUUUGUUCUCCCUCAGCCUGACCUGAUUAAAGGCUGUGCUUUCGUGUGUUAUUCUGCAGUGAGGAGAAAAAGAAGGUUUGUGCUGGAGUCCAAGUACAGUUUUCUAGCAGUUUUUCAGCAGUUGAAAGAGUGACUGAUUAUAGCUUGUGAGCCCAUUUAAGCAUUGACUCACUUUAAAAAAAAUAAUAAUAAUA